Molecule: ribosomal RNA, 433 nt
Filed under: uncultured Coriobacteriaceae bacterium
Lineage: Bacteria; Bacillati; Actinomycetota; Coriobacteriia; Coriobacteriales; Coriobacteriaceae
Description: bacterial SSU rRNA
Rfam family: Bacterial small subunit ribosomal RNA
Source: RNAcentral
ACGGGAGGCAGCAGUGGGGAAUUUUGCGCAAUGGGGGAAACCCUGACGCAGCAACGCCGCGUGCGGGAUGAAGGCCUUCGGGUUGUAAACCGCUUUCAGUAGGGAAGAUUAUGACGGUACCUACAGAAGAAGCUCCGGCUAACUACGUGCCAGCAGCCGCGGUAAUACGUAGGGAGCAAGCGUUAUCCGGAUUCAUUGGGCGUAAAGCGCGCGUAGGCGGCUUGUUAAGUCAGGUGUUAAAUCCUGGGGCUCAACCCUAGUCCGCACCUGAAACUGGCAGGCUUGAGUACGGUAGGGGAAAGUGGAAUUCCCAGUGUAGCGGUGAAAUGCGCAGAUAUUGGGAAGAACACCGGUGGCGAAGGCGGCUUUCUGGGCCGUUACUGACGCUGAGGCGCGAAAGCUAGGGGAGCAAACAGGAUUAGAUACCCUGGUA